UUCAUAUUAAUAUACGUAAAUACUUAUAUCCAUGCUUUUUAUAUACCGAAACAGGAUUGGAGGUUCUGGGACAGAUGUGCGCAACAAAUCAAGGACAAUCUCGAAACCUGUUGAGCAUCCUUCUGAGCUUCCAAAGUGGAACUAUGAUGGAUCAAGUACUCGACAAGCACCGGGAGAAGAUAGUGAAGUUAUCUUAUACCCCCAGGCGAUCUUUAAGGUUCCUUUCCGUGGCGGGAACAACAUCUUGGUGAUUGUAAUCUUGGUGAAUUUAAGUA
Long non-coding RNA from Helianthus annuus (common sunflower), 275 nucleotides. RefSeq lists it as uncharacterized. The record is from RefSeq and is a predicted model, not a curated record. The transcript has 3 exons. Lineage: Eukaryota; Viridiplantae; Streptophyta; Magnoliopsida; Asterales; Asteraceae.